This is an unclassified non-coding RNA of Parasteatoda tepidariorum (common house spider), 1757 nucleotides long. The record is from RefSeq and is a predicted model, not a curated record. NCBI's taxonomy places the organism in Eukaryota, Metazoa, Arthropoda, Arachnida, Araneae, Theridiidae.
AUUUUUGUAAAAAAAAUUUCCAUCAAUAUUUUUUGUUAUCUAUUUUAAUAUGUAUAAAUAUUUUUAAAAAUAAUACUUAUCUUAGAAUAUGCAUUUUUUGUGGUUUGACUUCUUUGUUUCUGCAGCUUUGUCUUGACAACAUCAUCAGCUUUUAACCUUUUUUUAACAGUUUUUUUUUUUCAUUUGCUUAGUAUAAAAACUAUCAAAUUUUGUCAAAGCCUAAAAAUUUUUUGUCAAAUAACAUAGAUACUCAAAUAUAUGUGUUAAGCUUUAUUUUCAUUAUUAUCAACUGGUCUCAUUUAAUCAUAAUGAUUUAAGUCUUGUGACUUUUUUAUUUUUAAAACUUCCUUUUUUCUUUCAUAACUUAUCACUUGUAGUUGCAUUUAAAGAGUGCGAUCGAGAUUUUUGUAGUAUGAAUAUUUAUUUUUGUAUUGCUAAAAAAAAAAUCAUGGAAGCAAACCUGCGACUGAUGCCCAUACUAUAUUACUAAACUAAUCAAAUGGAUGAAACAGAUAUCAACUACAGAAUUUUUGAAAAUAUAUCUCUGACUUUAGAACAACCUAAAAUCAUCAAAUGUUAUGGAUAAAAAAAAUUUCCCUCUUUUUAAGUAAUCAAUGACCAUUAUAUUACUUGACUAGUAUUGUUGCCAAAUAUUCUAAUUCCCAACUACUACACUUUUCUUUUCCUCUUCCCCAAAUCAUUGAAAGUGUUCAGCAUUGAAAAUAUGUGAUCUAUUCAAAAUAGGCCACAUGUGUUGAAGCUGUAGUUUUAUCAUGUCUGCAACAUUGUAAAAAAUGUUUUUUGAUAAAGUGCUUUUUGUGCUAUGGAAUUUAAUACUCAGCGCAAAUGCAUUUAAAUAUUAAGCCUCAAUUUUAAGGCAAAUUUUCGCAUCAGAAGUUUCAAAUGUUCAUCAUGAUCAGUUCAGAUGAUAAAUUGAGUUAAUAUAUAAAUUAAUAAAUAAAGUAAUUGUCUUGACUAUAUUUUUUUUCAUAAUCAUUUAACUGUUAGAUAUUUAUAAUCUUUUAGUUGUAGAGUUGUAGUUAGAUCUUUUUGUUGUAGAUUUUUAUAAAAUUAUUUGGAGAAAACAUAUUUUUACUGAAGUUAAAAAAAUCUGCUUCUCUCAAUUGUAUACUCGCGCAGGUUUUGAAGAACAUUUAAAAUAUUUUAUUGAUGUUAUUGAAUCUGCAUAAUAAUGAUAAGAAAAGCUUUUACAUCUGUAAGUUCAAAUACAUUGAGCUAUUAUACAAUGCAUGAAAUAAAAAAAAAUUUAUUUCUUUAGUUUUUAUCAUUUUUGAAAAGUUAAUAUUUUUGAACUAUAUUCUAUUAACUUUUCAGUCUUCUAAUAAAAGUAUUUGUUGAUUACUAACAUUGCUAUUAUUGAUUUCUUUAGGACUACUACAGAGACUACGAUGUAAAAACUGUUCCUUGUGUUUUCCCUCCCAAGUUACCCUUUCAAAACAUAGAAUGUGGCAUCAUAAAGAAUACUUCCCAUUCUUCAAAUUCAACUGUGAGCUUUGUCCAUAUUCAACUCACAAUGGAACAAAUUUUAAAAAGCAUGCAUCUGUGCAUGAUGCUAGAAGACCUUAUCUGUGUCAUAUUUGUGGUUGCCAUAGUGGAUUCCCUUGCAGACUUUGUAAUCUAUGGUUUGCCACCUCAACAACCUUAUCAAGGCAUGCAAUGUGGCACCAUGAUUCCUUUGGAAAAUACAGAUACAGCUGUGAUCUAUGUCCUUAUUCCACAAACAUUAAAUGCAACUU